Molecule: long non-coding RNA, 490 nt
Organism: Gossypium arboreum
Lineage: Eukaryota; Viridiplantae; Streptophyta; Magnoliopsida; Malvales; Malvaceae
Exons: 3
Source: RefSeq, a predicted model, not a curated record
AGAUUUCUUCAAUUUUCUUCAUCCUCUUCAGCUAAAAAUAGCCAUUGAAGAAACCUUAGAGCUGGUUUUUCAUUUUUUUACUGCAAAUCGAGAACCAAAGAAAACAGAAUUAGAUCAGGGGAAAUCGAAAGUAGUUGAAUAGCCGUUCGUUUCCAUUCAUUCUGUACAAGAUCAUCGAAGCUAACUCAGAUUCGGGGAUUGUCUGGAAGCGUCAUCACACUAUCAAUCAAUAUUUUGGUACUUUUGAAGUUAUGUAUAUAUUGGUAUAUGACAUGUAUAGGCUAGUGUCACAAUGGUAUAUUUUGGCUUGUAGAUGAAGUGUGUUUGUGGUCAUUUUAAUUGGCUUUAAAUGGUGAGUUUGGCUCAUGUUAUGUGAUGCAUAUAUAAUGUCUAGGUGAUAGUUCAUUUUGGUAAGUGAUUUAGUUGUUGAUUUAGUAGGUCAUGAAGCAUGUUUUAAUUGAUGAUAUAAGUGGCAUGAUUUAGACUUGAA